RNAcentral lists this long non-coding RNA (659 nucleotides) under Calidris pygmaea (Spoon-billed sandpiper). RNAcentral's name for it is "lncRNA (ENSCPGG00000014292.1)". Lineage: Eukaryota; Metazoa; Chordata; Aves; Charadriiformes; Scolopacidae. The record is from RNAcentral.
UUUUAGGGCACUCGGGGGUCGUUUUAGGGCACUCGGGGGUGGUUUUGGGCACUCAGGGGUGUGUUAGGGCAUUCGGGAUCGUUUUAGGGCACUUUGGGGUCGUUUUAGGGCACUGGGGGGUGUUUUUGGGCACUUUGGGGUCGUUUUAGGGCACUCGGGGGUGGUUUUGGGUCCUGGCAAAGCCACCCCCCGAGCCGUUGUCCUGUCCCCACGUCCCCGCAGCGCGUGCACUUGGUGCCGGAGCCCUGCACCCUGGACAUCGACGGCGUGAUCCUGGGCCUCACCUCCACCGACCUCAUCUUCCACAUGGGCGCCGAGGAGAUCAGCAGCUCCUCGGGGAUCUCGGACAGGUUCACGCGAAUCCUCAAGCACAUCCUGACGCAGAGGAGGUGAGGGACGUGGCACAAACACCCGCCCGAACCCAAAAAGGGCUUUUUUUUUCUCGCCAAAUAAGGGAAAUCCUGGGCUGUUGUCGCCCUCUUCCCCUUUCAAGUACAUUUUUAACCCCCCAAAACUGUCAGUUUGGGGUUUGACAACCCUUUUAAAAGAGGAUUCGGAGGGUUGUAGCGCUGUAAAUCCUCCUGGUGCGUGUCAGGCGUCCCCGGCCGAGAGCCGCCCUCGGCAAUAAAGCAAAACAAGCAGAAAGAAGUCUUUCUACC